This 245-nucleotide ribosomal RNA is filed under the name uncultured bacterium. RNAcentral describes it as "partial 16S ribosomal RNA". It matches the Rfam family "Bacterial small subunit ribosomal RNA", at positions 524 to 769 of the family's 1533-position model. The record is from RNAcentral.
UACGUAGGAUGCAAGCGUUGUCCGGAUUUAUUGGGCGUAAAGAGCGCGUAGGUGGUGUCUUAAGUUAGGCGUGAAAUUUCCCGGCUUAACUGGGAAGGGUCGUCUAAAACUGGGACGCUUGAGGGCAGCAGAGGAAAGUGGAAUUCCGGGUGUAGUGGUGAAAUGCGUAGAUAUCCGGAGGAACACCAGGGCGAAGGCGGCUUUCUGGGCUGUUCCUGACGCUGAGGCGCGAAGGCUAGGGUAGC